AGUGAACGCUGGCGGUAGGCCUAACACAUGCAAGUCGAACGGCAGCACAGUAGGAGCUUGCUCUUACGGGUGGCGAGUGGCGGACGGGUGAGGAAUACAUCGGAAUCUACUUUUUCGUGGGGGAUAACGUAGGGAAACUUACGCUAAUACCGCAUACGACCUACGGGUGAAAGCAGGGGAUCUUCGGACCUUGCGCGAUUGAAUGAGCCGAUGUCGGAUUAGCUAGUUGGCGGGGUAAAGGCCCACCAAGGCGACGAUCCGUAGCUGGUCUGAGAGGAUGAUCAGCCACACUGGAACUGAGACACGGUCCAGACUCCUACGGGAGGCAGCAGUGGGGAAUAUUGGACAAUGGGCGCAAGCCUGAUCCAGCCAUACCGCGUGGGUGAAGAAGGCCUUCGGGUUGUAAAGCCCUUUUGUCGGGAAAGAAAAGCAGCAGGUUAAUACCCCGCUGUUCUGACGGUACCCAAAGAAUAAGCACCGGCUAACUUCGUG
This 492-nucleotide ribosomal RNA is filed under the name uncultured bacterium. Its description in RNAcentral is "partial 16S ribosomal RNA". It matches the Rfam family "Bacterial small subunit ribosomal RNA", at positions 29 to 507 of the family's 1533-position model. The record is from RNAcentral.